AUACGGAGGGUGCAAGCGUUGUUCGGAAUCACUGGGUUUAAAGGGUCCGUAGGCGGACUAAUAAGUCAGGGGUGAAAUCCCACAGCUUAACUGUGGAACUGCCUUUGAUACUGUUAGUCUUGAGUUAUAUGGAAGUAGAUAGAAUGUGUAGUGUAGCGGUGAAAUGCUUAGAGAUUACACAGAAUACCGAUUGCGAAGGCAGUCUACUACAUAUAUACUGACGCUAAUGGACGAAAGCGUGGGGAGCGAACAGGAUUAGAAACCCUAGUAGUCC
This 274-nucleotide ribosomal RNA is filed under the name uncultured bacterium. RNAcentral describes it as "partial 16S ribosomal RNA". It matches the Rfam family "Bacterial small subunit ribosomal RNA", at positions 523 to 796 of the family's 1533-position model. The record is from RNAcentral.